Molecule: long non-coding RNA, 3334 nt
Organism: Brassica napus (rape)
Lineage: Eukaryota; Viridiplantae; Streptophyta; Magnoliopsida; Brassicales; Brassicaceae
Exons: 2
Source: RefSeq, a predicted model, not a curated record
UAAUUCGUAAAAUUGUCCUGAAAUGUGCAGUUCAAAAAAAAAAAAAAAUUGUCCUGAAAUGUCAUUUGCUAAAUAAUACUGUAUUUUCGUUGCCGACAUUAUAGUUUAAUAAAUACUUUUUAUGCUAAAUGGAAUUUAUUCUAUUGAUGUGAUAUAAUCGAAUAUCCAAUCAUUUAUGAAAACUUUUCCAAUACCCAAAUUUCAAGCCUAGUAAUUUGAAUUGAUUAUUUUUGUUUAAACUGCUUUGAACUGAUUCUUUUUGCAAAUAAAUGUAGAUACAUUUUUCCACUUUCAACUUACGGCUUAAGAUUCUUCUAUAGUUACUACUAUCAAUUAUACGUAUUAUAUAUAUACAUUUUAAAUUUAGUGGAGAAACAUUAGAUGAUGAUAACCAUGUUACCACUUCCAGUAUUUACACUUUACGGGACACGAUUCAAUGUCUUUGUACUUGUUGAAGUUCAGUGUACAUAAGAUGUCAUUUAAACCUAUAUAAUAUAGAUUCUUAUCACUACUUUCUAUAAAGCUAACAAAAAUAAAGAGUUGAGAGAUUAAUAUUUCAUUUUUUAUGUGCGUGGUAUUUUUUUUUUCUUUUGAACACAUGUGCGUGGUAUACAUAUGAUGAUUUUAUUUUCGUUUGAAGAUUUCAGUUAAAUUAGUUUUAUGGUAUUUUUUUUUUUAAAUGCCAUCUUAUGUUAUGGUCUUUCAUUUUCUUACGAUUUUUUCAUAUGAAAGGUUUUGUGAUAGGUAAUUAUAUGGAAAGAUUUUUUUUUCUUUUCAAGUUAGACGAAUGUUAUUAUGUUUAAAGAAACCAAUUUAGUAGCUAGUUUCGUUUUCUGCUAAAUAGAAAAUCCCAAGCUGAGACCUAGCCUCACCUGAUAAUACAUUUUAAUAGUUUAAAAUCAGGCCUUCUAAAUAUGACUUGAAUUAUAUGGAUGUGGUUCAACUUCUUUUAAAAUUCCCAAGUCUCUAUAUAACCCAGCAAUUUAAUUUAGUGUUGCCAAGUAAUUUUUCAUUUUGAUAGUUUAAGGAUCGACUGAAGUGAAAAGCGUUAAACACCUGCUUAACAACUAAAGACUUUCUAUUUAAUUGAAAUUUUUAUCUAAGAUAGGCAGAUUAAAAAUGACUUUUCUGAAAAGUAUACUUAUACACAAAAUUUAACUAAACUCUAAUGUUUACGAAGCUGCAUGUUCUAGAGAAACGACUGCUCUAUUUGGAACAUCAAAGUACAAAUUUAAUACUAAACUAUUACUAUAAUUAUGAUAAAGAUGCAUCUUAGCAAGUUGGUCAUUACAUAAUGAUACUUUAUGUCGUCGAUAUUCUCCUUCUCUCUACACAUAUAUAAAUUAGUAUAUUGUCAUAUAAAUGCAUCGGUAGAUAUAUAUAUACACAUAUAUUGAUUUGUGUACGUAUACGUGAGCCUAAUAAUGGAGAAAAGGCUAUGAAAGAAAGCCUAUGUGACACAGAUUUUGUAGGUACUUAUCUUGAAUCUCCGAACUCCAUAAGAAGCAAUACAAGUACAAAAUUAAAUCUUCUAUAACGUUUAUGUUAUAAACAAUUACUUUGAUUUUUUAGGGUAAAUUAUUUAUAUUCUGAAAGUUGAUUAUUAAGGCUUCGAAUGUUUACAACUGUCCCGCCCCGCACCGCAGUUAACAGUAACAAAAAUCUUUACAUACACCAUAUAUCUAUACGUUUUUAUAACUGUUAAAACUGUACCGCAGUUGAACCGCUUGUCCCGCACCGUUCAAACCGCAGUUACCAUUCGGAACCUUAAAAUUCCAAAGUUCCCAUCUAUGAUUCCUAAUCUGAUAAUGUUCCUGUUACAUAUUUCUUCUGAACAUAAGUGAGAUCUCGAAACUAAUAGCUUCAGUUAUUAUUCAAGUAAGCAGAGGGUAUUUCACAAAUUAAAUUCUUAAUGAAUUGCCAUACUUUUUCGUCUUUGCAGACAUAGAAGCAACAAGUAGAAUAUCGACGUGUACUAGUAGGUUCAGUGUAGACAAAAUUAAGAUUCCUAAUUUUUUACUCUUUGGAAAAUAUAUGCUUAUGUACUUAUUUAUAUCAAAAAGCAAGUUUCCCGGGAACAAGGUCCGGCCGCUUGAGUGGAAAGCAGACAAUUAUUAUGAACACAUAAAGCAAAUUUCGAAAUUUUAAUUGAGUACAGAAAAGAAAAAAAAAUUAUAUAAAAUUCAGCAUAAUGAAGAAAUAUACAUGCUUGUUUAAUUAAAAUCACUUGGUACUGCUUUUCGUCGUCUAAUUUGUUGCAAGUUUUUCUUUACACCCUGUAUAUUGGAAGUUCUUAUAAACACUACAGAAAAUGAAUUGAUGGUUGUUGUACAUACCAAUUUAAUUGAUAAUAACAUAAACAUCGACUUCUUAAGAACAUAAACAAUCAAGAAUAAAGAAAGAUUUUACCACACAAAAAAAAGAAUAAAGAAAGAAUAAUAUUUUACCAAAAAAAAACAUUAAAGAAUAAUCAUGUAAACUAGUUUUCCUGGUUUGUGUAAGCGUAAAACGCUAAAAUAUUUCGAACAAAAAGGUGGAGAAAAUAUUAACCAUCCACUUAUUCAAUAAGCAUAUAUAAUUCAAAUUCCUAGUGCAACAAAAAAAACAAAAAAAAAAUUACACAAAAGGUUUCGCCUAUGUUUUACAUUUGUUUUGCUAUAUAAAGCCAUUAAUCCUACAUGCUCUUUAGACAUCUCUUCUUCUCUCAUCUAUCUUUUCUUCUCUCUUUUCCUCCUUUUUAUCUCACAUAAGCUCUUUUUUACAUAAAUCCAUAUGGUGCCUCAAAGCAAUCCAUGGUCUAGGGUUUGUUUUGAAGAUUGAUUCUAGCACACACAGAAAAAGAUCUGUGCAUCAAGAAUGAAAAACAUGGGGCAUAUAUAUACGUUUUACUGUUUUAUGCUCUAUACAAUAUACUCAGAUUAUUCAUAUACUAACUGUAUAUGUCCAUAUGCUUAUAUAUAUACAUAUAUAGCUGUAGAAAUUUUAAUAUGGUCAGGGAUGCUGGGUUGGUGGGGGAAGGGAGCUUUCUUCGGUCCACUCAUAGAAUAAUAUGAUUCAGUCGUGGACCUCCCUGAACAUCUUCGAGACUAAUCUAUGAAGGCUUAUGUUUUUCUUUGUAAUGAAAGUUUCACUACUAGAAGCAAUAACAAUAUACAAGAUAAGGUUUCUACUAGCUCAUCUACCCAAAUAACUUCGCUUCUUUCUUUUUGUGGGGGUCAAAACUUCGUUUCUUUCUAUUCCAUGUAAACUAUCAUGUUUCUGGCGCUCGCUCAAUUAAAGGCGACUUGCAAAUAGAUUAUAAGCUAUCACAAGCUAUUACGCAAUUUCGAGUUCA